RNAcentral lists this transfer RNA (57 nucleotides) under Camelus ferus (Wild Bactrian camel). It matches the Rfam family "tRNA", at positions 8 to 63 of the family's 71-position model. Rfam says of the family: Transfer RNA (tRNA) molecules are approximately 80 nucleotides in length. Their secondary structure includes four short double-helical elements and three loops (D, anti-codon, and T loops). The record is from Rfam by way of RNAcentral. Lineage: Eukaryota; Metazoa; Chordata; Mammalia; Artiodactyla; Camelidae.
UAGCUCAGUGGCAGAGCAUGUGCUCAGCAUGCACGAGGUCCUGGGUUCAAUCCCCAG